AUUUAACGCUGGCGGCAUGCCUUACACAUGCAAGUCGAACGGUAACAGGUCUUCGGAUGCUGACGAGUGGCGAACGGGUGAGUAAUACAUCGGAACGUGCCUAGUAGUGGGGGAUAACUACUCGAAAGAGUGGCUAAUACCGCAUGAGAUCUACGGAUGAAAGCAGGGGAUCGCAAGACCUUGUGCUACUAGAGCGGCCGAUGGCAGAUUAGGUAGGUGGUGGGAUAAAAGCUUACCAAGCCGACGAUAUGUAGCUGGUCUUAGAGGUGGAUCAGCCACACUGGGACUGUGACACGGCCCAGACUCCUACGGGAGGCAGCAGUGGGGAAUUUUGGACAAUGGGCGCAAGCCUGAUCCAGCAAUGCCGCGUGCAGGAUGAAGGCCUUCGGGUUGUAAACUGCUUUUGUACGGAACGAAAAGCCCUGGGUUAAUACCCUGGGGUCAUGACGGUACCGUAAGAAUAAGCACCGGCUAACUACGUGCCAGCCGCCGCCGUAA
This 498-nucleotide ribosomal RNA is filed under the name uncultured bacterium. RNAcentral's name for it is "partial 16S ribosomal RNA". It matches the Rfam family "Bacterial small subunit ribosomal RNA", at positions 32 to 523 of the family's 1533-position model. The record is from RNAcentral.